GACGAACGCUGGCGGCGUGCUUAACACAUGCAAGUCGAACGGAAAGGCCCUGCUUUUGUGGGGUGCUCGAGUGGCGAACGGGUGAGUAACACGUGAGUAACCUGCCCUUGACUUUGGGAUAACUUCAGGAAACUGGGGCUAAUACCGGAUAGGAGCUCCUGCUGCAUGGUGGGGGUUGGAAAGUUUCGGCGGUUGGGGAUGGACUCGCGGCUUAUCAGCUUGUUGGUGGGGUAGUGGCUUACCAAGGCUUUGACGGGUAGCCGGCCUGAGAGGGUGACCGGCCACAUUGGGACUGAGAUACGGCCGAGACUCCUACGGGAGGCAGCAGUGGGGAAUAUUGCACAAUGGGCGGAAGCCUGAUGCAGCAACGACGCGUGCGGGAUGACGGCCUUCGGGUUGUAAACCGCUUUCGCCUGUGACGAAGCGUGAGUGACGGUAAUGGGUAAAGAAGCACCGGAUAACUACGUG
RNAcentral lists this ribosomal RNA (468 nucleotides) under uncultured bacterium. Its description in RNAcentral is "partial 16S ribosomal RNA". It matches the Rfam family "Bacterial small subunit ribosomal RNA", at positions 28 to 507 of the family's 1533-position model. The record is from RNAcentral.